RNAcentral lists this non-coding RNA (175 nucleotides) under Clostridia bacterium. Its description in RNAcentral is "6S RNA". It matches the Rfam family "6S / SsrS RNA". Rfam says of the family: E. coli 6S RNA was the first non coding RNA to be sequenced, but its function was unknown until recently. Lineage: Bacteria; Bacillati; Bacillota; Clostridia. The record is from RNAcentral.
AGGCGCCUGGAAUGUUGGUUACAGCUAUAAAUUUUACCACUGACUAUUUUUCGGGAGAACGUGUUCCUUUGUCUAUGACAAGCUGCUUUAAGCAGAAGUCAGAAGCAAUGGAUAGUCCACCCACCUAACUAAGGUGUGGUGUGAAAUUUGUACGUAACGGCAUUCUGGACGUAAA